CAGGCGGGAGAGGUAGGAUUUUUCACUGCUGUGCAGGAAACUGCAGUCGUUGAUAUGGUCAUCAGAAACAACGGCAUAAAACUCACAGAGAUUCGGGACGAGUGUUGGCAGACAAUGUAAGCAUAACAAAUAUGCUUACAUCAAGUCAGGAUGAAGCAGUUGUACACUGUCCCCUUUGAGAGGAACUCUGAACGAGUCAAGCAACUCAGAAACCAAUAUGUCCAGAGAGUCAUGGAGAUUGAAGCCAUGCAAACACCCCAUAUAUUCAUCUUUGAGGAUGAGUCUGGUUUCAACUUGGCCAAAACACGGCAGCGAGGAAGGAAUGUGAUUAGAAAAAGAGCCACAGUGGAUGUCCUGGGCCAGAGGGGUGACAACAUCACAAUGUGUCCAGCAAUAUCCUCUGAUGGAUUCCUGUCACACAAACCGCUAAUUGGGCCACACAACACCGAGCGUCUCAUUUCAUUCCUGCAUGACCUCUAUGGGAGGGUUGUGCCAGGUGAGGGCAGGGUUGCAGUGAGGCAAAC
Oncorhynchus mykiss (rainbow trout) is the source of this 524-nucleotide non-coding RNA. NCBI's taxonomy places the organism in Eukaryota, Metazoa, Chordata, Actinopteri, Salmoniformes, Salmonidae. The record is from RefSeq and is a predicted model, not a curated record.